This is a long non-coding RNA of Halichondria panicea, 694 nucleotides long. RefSeq lists it as uncharacterized. The transcript is spliced from 3 exons. The record is from RefSeq and is a predicted model, not a curated record. Lineage: Eukaryota; Metazoa; Porifera; Demospongiae; Suberitida; Halichondriidae.
UGUGUGUGAGGGGAGACAUAACUGGCUGUACAAUACAGAGGGAUGGGGGAGGAGACAAUACACACUAAUCGAUACACAAGGAUGUGGUGGGGAACUCAUAUUUAAAAGAACCUCUUUUGUUAAUUUUAUCCCUGGCCACUACAGAUAGUUGAAUCAGAGCUACCUGGACAGUCUGGGCAUCAAGUACCUAUAUACCUGGCUGGAAGCUAGGCCCCUUGGGGAGAACGACCUAUGACCUUUGGAGAGGUGGGCUGUUUCCUUAGUCACCACACGAUAUGGCAGCAGAUGAUGACGGAGGGUCUGGAUCAAAUCCUGAUUCUGGAGGAUGAUGUCGUGUUUGAUCCCUACUUCCGACAUGACAUCACUAGAGUGCUGGAAGAGGCCAAUCGGAUCACACCAAACUGGGACCUCAUGGGAUGGGUCUUCAGUCUUCACUGGGCCCUGUGACCGUGGCAACCUGAACAUGGUGAAACUACUUGUAAAGAGGGGAGCAGAUGUUAAUAUUGAGGACACAGACAAUCAGACACCUCUUCAUUAUGGUGAGAGAUGGAGUAUUCCUUUACAGAGGGUGCUUGUGUGUUAAUACAUGUUGAAGCUAGCUGUCUGUUUGUAGAUCUUUGUUUGAGUCCAAUGCUCCCUCUACUGAAUAGUGAGGGAAGUCAGUUUGGCUGUGUAUCUAUGGUAACCAGUGAGA